RNAcentral lists this ribosomal RNA (450 nucleotides) under uncultured bacterium. RNAcentral describes it as "bacterial SSU rRNA". It matches the Rfam family "Bacterial small subunit ribosomal RNA", at positions 354 to 796 of the family's 1533-position model. The record is from RNAcentral.
GUGGGGAAUAUUGGACAAUGGGCGAAAGCCUGAUCCAGCCAUGCCGCGUGUGUGAAGAAGGUCUUCGGAUUGUAAAGCACUUUAAGUUGGGAGGAAGGGCAGUAAGCUAAUACCUUGCUGUUUUGACGUUACCGACAGAAUAAGCACCGGCUAACUUCGUGCCAGCAGCCGCGGUAAUACGAAGGGUGCAAGCGUUAAUCGGAAUUACUGGGCGUAAAGCGCGCGUAGGUGGUUCAGCAAGUUGGAGGUGAAAUCCCCGGGCUCAACCUGGGAACUGCCUCCAAAACUACUGAGCUAGAGUACGGUAGAGGGUAGUGGAAUUUCCUGUGUAGCGGUGAAAUGCGUAGAUAUAGGAAGGAACACCAGUGGCGAAGGCGACUACCUGGACUGAUACUGACACUGAGGUGCGAAAGCGUGGGGAGCAAACAGGAUUAGAUACCCGAGUAGUCC